GGUUAUGAGCAUGACCGCUGGUGCUAAUGUCAUCCACAAGGUUCGAGGGAUCAUUUUUGACCUGCAACAAGAUCUUAUCACACUCACUAUUUCAGAAGAAAAAUGAAACAUUAGAAUCGCUCAUCUAAGAGGGAGAAUAUGAGGCAGUCCUAUGCUUCAGCAUUUUUUUUGGAUGGAGUGGCUGCCUCCUUCCAAGCUCAAAUAUUAAACCAAGUUAUCAUGGGUUUCAAAAAUCAUGGAACUGGACCCCAUGGUAUGAUUCUCGAGAAACUCCAAUCAAACACAAAAGCAAAACCCUAGUCUUGUCUGGAAAACUAUCCAUGUUAAUCAAUCUUAAAUGGGCAGCCCAGAAAAGAAAGACAACAAACAAACAAAUAAAUAGGCAGUGAUAAAGAAUAGUAGAAAAGAGACAGAUAUUAAGCAGUCAUCACCCUGCAAUUUCAGUGAUCAAAUUUGGAAAACCCAUCAAGCUCUAAAUCCCAGGCAAUCAAGAUUAUAUGUUUUGUGCAGUGUAG
This is a long non-coding RNA of Populus euphratica (Euphrates poplar), 515 nucleotides long. RefSeq lists it as uncharacterized. The transcript is spliced from 2 exons. The record is from RefSeq and is a predicted model, not a curated record. Lineage: Eukaryota; Viridiplantae; Streptophyta; Magnoliopsida; Malpighiales; Salicaceae.